RNAcentral lists this transfer RNA (75 nucleotides) under Citharinus congicus (Congo citharin). Its description in RNAcentral is "tRNA-Lys". It matches the Rfam family "tRNA". Rfam says of the family: Transfer RNA (tRNA) molecules are approximately 80 nucleotides in length. Their secondary structure includes four short double-helical elements and three loops (D, anti-codon, and T loops). Lineage: Eukaryota; Metazoa; Chordata; Actinopteri; Characiformes; Citharinidae. The record is from RNAcentral.
CACUAGGAGGCCAAAAAGGGUUUAAGCGUUAGCCUUUUAAGCUAAAGAUUGGUGACUCCCGACCACCCCUAGUGA